Molecule: ribosomal RNA, 492 nt
Filed under: uncultured bacterium
Lineage: Bacteria
Description: partial 16S ribosomal RNA
Rfam family: Bacterial small subunit ribosomal RNA
Source: RNAcentral
CUUUCCCUCUUUCUUUAGGCCUAACACAUGCAAGUCGAACGGCAGCACAGUAAGAGCUUGCUCUUACGGGUGGCGAGUGGCGGACGGGUGAGGAAUACAUCGGAAUCUACUUUUUCGUGGGGGAUAACGUAGGGAAACUUACGCUAAUACCGCAUCCGACCUACGGGUGAAAGCAGGGGAUCUUCGGACCUUGCGCGAUUGAUUGAGCCGAUGUCGGAUUAGCUAGUUGGCGGGGUAAAGGCCCACCAAGGCGACGAUCCGUAGCUGGUCUGAGAGGAUGAUCAGCCACACUGGAACUGAGACACGGUCCAGACUCCUACGGGAGGCAGCAGUGGGGAAUAUUGGACAAUGGGCGCAAGCCUGAUCCAGCCAUACCGCGUGGGUGAAGAAGGCCUUCGGGUUGUAAAGCCCUUUUGUUGGGAAAGAAAAGCAGCAGGUUAAUACCCCGCUGUUCUGACGGUACCCAAAGAAUAAGCACCGGCUAACUUCGUG